This 498-nucleotide ribosomal RNA is filed under the name uncultured bacterium. RNAcentral describes it as "bacterial SSU rRNA". It matches the Rfam family "Bacterial small subunit ribosomal RNA", at positions 28 to 526 of the family's 1533-position model. The record is from RNAcentral.
GAUGAACGCUAGCGGCAGGCUUAACACAUGCAAGUCGAGGGGUAUUGGUUUUCGGACCAAGAGACCGGCGCACGGGUGCGUAACGCGUAUGCAAUCUACCUUUUGCAGAGGGAUAGCCCAGAGAAAUUUGGAUUAAUACCUCAUAGUAUAGUACUUUGGCAUCAAGGAACUAUUAAAGUCACAACGGCAAAAGAUGAGCAUGCGUCCAUUAGCUAGUUGGUAAGGUAACGGCUUACCAAGGCUACGAUGGGUAGGGGUCCUGAGAGGGAGAUCCCCCCACACUGGUACUGAGACACGGACCAGACUCCUACGGGAGGCAGCAGUGAGGAAUAUUGGUCAAUGGGCGCAAGCCUGAACCAGCCAUGCCGCGUGCAGGAAGACGGUCCUAUGGAUUGUAAACUGCUUUUAUACAGGAAGAAACCCCUCCACGUGUGGGANCUUGACGGUACUGUAGGAAUAAGGAUCGGACUAACUCCGUGCCAGCAGCCGCGGUAAAGU